Molecule: ribosomal RNA, 506 nt
Filed under: uncultured bacterium
Lineage: Bacteria
Description: partial 16S ribosomal RNA
Rfam family: Bacterial small subunit ribosomal RNA
Source: RNAcentral
AUUGAACGCUGGCGGCAGGCCUAACACAUGCAAGUCGAACGGCAGCACAGAAGAGCUUGCUCUUUGGGUGGCGAGUGGCGGACGGGUGAGUAAUGUCUGGGAAACUGCCCGAUGGAGGGGGAUAACUACUGGAAACGGUAGCUAAUACCGCAUAACGUCGCGAGACCAAAGUGGGGGACCUUCGGGCCUCACACCAUCGGAUGUGCCCAGAUGGGGUUAGCUAGUAGGUGGGGUAAUGGCUCACCUAGGCGACGAUCCCUAGCUGGACUGAGAGGAUGACCCGCCACACUGGAACUGGGACACGGUCCAGACUCCUACGGGCGGCAGCAGUGGGGAGUAUUGCACAAUGGGCGAAAGCCUGAUGCAGCCAUGCCGCGUGUAUGAAGAAGGCCUUCGGGUUGUAAAGUACUUUCAGCGGGGAGGAAGGCGGUGAGGUUAAUAACCUCGCCGAUUGACGUUACCCGCAGAAGAAGCACCGGCUAACUCCGUGCCAGCCGCCGCGGUAA